GGAUCGUAAACUCUGUUGUUAGGGAAGAACAAGUGUCUAGUAACUGAUGGCACCUUGACGGUACCUAACCAGAAAGCCACGGCUAACUACGUGCCAGCAGCCGCGGUAAUACGUAGGUGGCAAGCGUUGUCCGGAAUUAUUGGGCGUAAAGCGCUCGCAGGCGGUUCUUUAAGUCUGAUGUGAAAUCUUACGGCUUAACCGUAAACGUGCAUUGGAAACUGGGGAACUUGAGUGCAGAAGAGGAGAGUGGAAUUCCACGUGUAGCGGUGAAAUGCGUAGAGAUGUGGAGGAACACCAGUGGCGAAGGCGACUCUCUGGUCUGUAACUGACGCUGAGGAGCGAAAGCGUGGGGAGCGAACAGGAUUAGAUACCCUGGUAGUCCACGCCGUAAACGAUGAGUGCUAGGUGUUAGGGGGUUUCCCGCCCCUUAGUGCUGAAGUUAACGCAUUAAGCACUCCGCCUGUGGAGUACGGCCGCAAGGCUGACACUCAAAAGCAAUUGACGGGGGCCCGCACAAACGGUGGAGCAUGUGGUAUAAAUCCGAAGCCAACGCGAAGAACCUUACCAGCG
Molecule: ribosomal RNA, 570 nt
Filed under: uncultured bacterium
Lineage: Bacteria
Description: bacterial SSU rRNA
Rfam family: Bacterial small subunit ribosomal RNA
Source: RNAcentral